Molecule: non-coding RNA, 45 nt
Filed under: Schistosoma mansoni
Lineage: Eukaryota; Metazoa; Platyhelminthes; Trematoda; Strigeidida; Schistosomatidae
Source: RNAcentral
AUACAGCUGAUGAGUCCCUAAUAGGACGAAACGCGCGUCCUGGAU